CCUCUUUAUGGAGAACCAAUCCAUUUUCAAAUCUAGUUGGGAUACUAUUCCCAAGAAAUGG
RNAcentral lists this transfer RNA (61 nucleotides) under Gastrodia elata. Its description in RNAcentral is "tRNA-Tyr". Lineage: Eukaryota; Viridiplantae; Streptophyta; Magnoliopsida; Asparagales; Orchidaceae. The record is from RNAcentral.